UGGUUCUUCCUAGCUCAACUCUCGUGGUUCCAUACGAGUUAGCUCGAUAACUCUUCAGUUGCUUCCCUCUCGGGGAGCAUGCCAUGGGAAAAGUCCCCGGGCCUGUGACAGAGAGUGUCAGGACGUGACUUCGUCCCUCUUGCUCGCAGUCAGAAGUCGGAGGAGAUAGCCACCGCGCUUCUCUUCUGGCUUAGACAGGGUGCAAACAUGCCAGACCUUCUACAGUAAUGUUGAGAUUUCUCGAUAGGGAUGGAAGACUUGUGAGAGAGAGAACUUUUCUCCUCUCGCCUGUCUCUCUGUCUCUUCUGAUCUCACACAAUGGGGCUUACUCAGAAAGAACU
RNAcentral lists this RNase MRP RNA (341 nucleotides) under Anopheles culicifacies. RNAcentral describes it as "rNase MRP". It matches the Rfam family "RNase MRP". Rfam says of the family: RNase MRP is an enzymatically active ribonucleoprotein with two distinct roles in eukaryotes. In mitochondria it plays a direct role in the initiation of mitochondrial DNA replication. The record is from RNAcentral. Lineage: Eukaryota; Metazoa; Arthropoda; Insecta; Diptera; Culicidae.